This 253-nucleotide ribosomal RNA is filed under the name uncultured bacterium. RNAcentral describes it as "partial 16S ribosomal RNA". It matches the Rfam family "Bacterial small subunit ribosomal RNA", at positions 524 to 776 of the family's 1533-position model. The record is from RNAcentral.
UACGUAGGGCGCAAGCGUUGUCCGGAAUUAUUGGGCGUAAAGAGCUCGUAGGCGGCCUGUUACGUCUGCUGUGAAAUCCCGGGGCUUAACCCCGGGCGUGCAGUGGAUACGGGCAGGCUGGAGGCAGGCAGGGGAGAACGGAAUUCCCGGUGUAGCGGUGAAAUGCGCAGAUAUCGGGAGGAACACCGGUGGCGAAGGCAGCCUUCUGGGCCAACACUGACGCUCAUGCACGAAAGCGUGGGGAGCAAACAGG